GAUGAACGCUGGCGGCGUGCCUAAUACAUGCAAGUCGAGCGAACGGACGAGAAGCUUGCUUCUCUGAUGUUAGCGGCGGACGGGUGAGUAACACGUGGAUAACCUACCUAUAAGACUGGGAUAACUUCGGGAAACCGGAGCUAAUACCGGAUAAUAUUUUGAACCGCAUGGUUCAAAAGUGAAAGACGGUCUUGCUGUCACUUAUAGAUGGAUCCGCGCUGCAUUAGCUAGUUGGUAAGGUAACGGCUUACCAAGGCAACGAUGCAUAGCCGACCUGAGAGGGUGAUCGGCCACACUGGAACUGAGACACGGUCCAGACUCCUACGGGAGGCAGCAGUAGGGAAUCUUCCGCAAUGGGCGAAAGCCUGACGGAGCAACGCCGCGUGAGUGAUGAAGGUCUUCGGAUCGUAAAACUCUGUUAUUAGGGAAGAACAUAUGUGUAAGUAACUGUGCACAUCUUGACGGUACCUAAUCAGAAAGCCACGGCUAACUACGUGCCAGCAGCCGCGGUAAUACGUAGGUGGCAAGCGUUAUCCGGAAUUAUUGGGCGUAAAGCGCGCGUAGGCGGUUUUUUAAGUCUGAUGUGAAAGCCCACGGCUCAACCGUGGAGGGUCAUUGGAAACUGGAAAACUUGAGUGCAGAAGAGGAAAGUGGAAUUCCAUGUGUAGCGGUGAAAUGCGCAGAGAUAUGGAGGAACACCAGUGGCGAAGGCGACUUUCUGGUCUGUAACUGACGCUGAUGUGCGAAAGCGUGGGGAUCAAACAGGAUUAGAUACCCUGGUAGUCCACGCCGUAAACGAUGAGUGCUAAGUGUUAGGGGGUUUCCGCCCCUUAGUGCUGCAGCUAACGCAUUAAGCACUCCGCCUGGGGAGUACGACCGCAAGGUUGAAACUCAAAGGAAUUGACGGGGACCCGCACAAGCGGGGAGCAUGUGGUUUAAUUCGAAGCAACGCGAAGAGCCUUACCAAAUCUUGACAUCCUUUGACAACUCUAGAGAUAGAGCCUUCCCCUUCGGGGGACAAAGUGACAGGUGGUGCAUGGUUGUCGUCAGCUCGUGUCGUGAGAUGUUGGGUUAAGUCCCGCAACGAGCGCAACCCUUAAGCUUAGUUGCCAUCAUUAAGUUGGGCACUCUAAGUUGACUGCCGGUGACAAACCGGAGGAAGGUGGGGAUGACGUCAAAUCAUCAUGCCCCUUAUGAUUUGGGCUACACACGUGCUACAAUGGACAAUACAAAGGGCAGCGAAACCGCGAGGUCAAGCAAAUCCCAUAAAGUUGUUCUCAGUUCGGAUUGUAGUCUGCAACUCGACUACAUGAAGCUGGAAUCGCUAGUAAUCGUAGAUCAGCAUGCUACGGUGAAUACGUUCCCGGGUCU
Molecule: ribosomal RNA, 1371 nt
Filed under: uncultured bacterium
Lineage: Bacteria
Description: bacterial SSU rRNA
Rfam family: Bacterial small subunit ribosomal RNA
Source: RNAcentral